GAAGAAGGUGUGGAGUUGCGCGUUGUCAUUUAUAAACUGAUUGUUAGAGUUCUUCGAUUUGUCGCAAAGCUUGACGAUGGCAGCGAGCAUCAAGUUUCCCAGCAUGAUGUGGAAUUUGAGGUUAACAUGAAACGUUUUACUGUUGAAAAACUGAUAGAACUCAUUGGGUCCAAAGUUGUUUGGGGGAGUGGGCAGGAGGUCCAUAUUUUGUGCAAGGACAAGCAUUUUGAAUCAGUUGAGAGGAUUGAUAACUACUGGAAAUUGCUCACAUCAUUUCUUGAGAGAUGGGAAGAGAAAGAAUUGCUUGUGCUAGCUCAAGUUGUGGACAUUGCAGAGGGGGUUACAGCAUCAUCUUGUUCAGAAAAUAUCCCAUCUAGUGAGAUAGUAGACAACAUCAUUUGUUCAAGUUCUGACAUUUACCAGUCAAAUGCUAGUAGUGCAUCAUGUGUUGAUGAUUCUACAAAUUGUAAUGUGCUUCGUAAUAAUGAGAGAUAUGUGCAAUCUGAUGGUGGUGUUGUCAUUGAUUGGUCAACUCUUGAGAUAACUCCUAUUGGUGAUGAUAUAAUAGCUCCUAUGUCACAGGAAAACAUGUGUGAGGUACUUGGAAUUGAGGAUGAGGUUGAGGAUGCUCAACCAGUAAAGGAUCCAGCUCCAGUUGUUGUGUGA
This 666-nucleotide ribosomal RNA is filed under the name Triticum aestivum (bread wheat). Its description in RNAcentral is "partial small subunit ribosomal RNA". The record is from RNAcentral. Lineage: Eukaryota; Viridiplantae; Streptophyta; Magnoliopsida; Poales; Poaceae.